AGUGAACGCUGGCGGUAGGCCUAACACAUGCAAGUCGAACGGCAGCACAGUAAGAGCUUGCUCUUACGGGUGGCGAGUGGCGGACGGGUGAGGAAUACAUCGGAUUCUACUUUUUCGUGGGGGAUAACGUAGGGAAACUUACGCUAAUACCGCAUACGACCUACGGGUGAAAGCAGGGGAUCUUCGGACCUUGCGCGAUUGAAUGAGCCGAUGUCGGAUUAGCUAGUUGGCGGGGUAAAGGCCCACCAAGGCGACGAUCCGUAGCUGGUCUGAGAGGAUGAUCAGCCACACUGGAACGGAGACACGGUCCAGACUCCUACGGGAGGCAGCAGUGGGGAAUAUUGGACAAUGGGCGCAAGCCUGAUCCAGCCAUACCGCGUGGGUGAAGAAGGCCUUCGGGUUGUAAAGCCCUUUUGUUGGGAAAGAAAAGCAGCAGGUUAAUACCCCGCUGUUAUGACGGUACCCAAAGAAUAAGCACCGGCUAACUACGUG
RNAcentral lists this ribosomal RNA (492 nucleotides) under uncultured bacterium. RNAcentral's name for it is "partial 16S ribosomal RNA". It matches the Rfam family "Bacterial small subunit ribosomal RNA", at positions 29 to 507 of the family's 1533-position model. The record is from RNAcentral.